This 400-nucleotide unclassified non-coding RNA is filed under the name uncultured fungus. RNAcentral describes it as "sequence contains ITS1". The stretch from base 1 to 103 matches the Rfam family "5.8S ribosomal RNA", at positions 50 to 154 of the family's 154-position model. Lineage: Eukaryota; Fungi. The record is from RNAcentral.
UAACUGCGUGCAGACGUGUGAACUGCAGGACACAUGAACACCGACGUUUCGAACGCAAAUGGCGGUCUAAAGUAAAUUUUAGACCACGUCUGGCUGAGGGUCGGAUUUGAAAUAAAAGAAAAAGUUACUCUGACUUAUGGCAUACAAUGUCUAUAUGUUGCCUGUCUGAUGUAAAAGUUUCAUCGCUGGGUUUUACAGCCCAGUUAGAAUUGUUGGUAUCCUUAUGGAAGCAUUGUUUAACUACAUUGCUAGCUAAUUUGAGAAAACGUACCUUAGCGCCCAUUGUGCCGCUAAGUCUACAAAUAAUUGGCGAAAACAUUUGAUACCACUAAAAUCUGCUUUUUAAAAUAAGCAACUCAAACAUACGACCUCAGAGUAGGCGAGAUUACCCGCUAAAUUU